ACAUCUACGGUCAAGAUUCCUUCCUUCACCAAUUUUUCUCUGUUCUUCUCCCAUUCACUCACAGAUCUCUCUCUUUCUCAACUCCCUCCUCUCUCCCCUCACUCCUCCAGCCCCAAGCUCCGACCACCGCCGUCGCCUCCAUCAGAUCCGCCACCACCAACCGCUUACUCCUCUUCCCCUUCAACCCGCCUCCUCGCCACCGCCUCUCUCUCCUCGUCAUCUCGCCGUCGCCGUCCUUCUCUCUCCUUCACAUCUCUGACAAAACUCCCCCCGCCGGACCCUCCCCUCCCCCUCCGUAACCCACGUCCAGUGCGAUGUCUCCGACCCCGGCGACGCCCUCUCCAAGCUCCCCCCCCCCUCCGACAACACCCACCUCUUCUACGUCUCCCUGGCCCACCGCGGCUCCGAGUCCGGCAACAUCCCCGCCAACUCCUCCAUGUCGAUUUCCUUGAAAGAGUUGGCGAUUACGGGGAUUGAUGAUCGGAGAUAUUGGAAUUAUAUUCCAACUGAGGAAUCUAGGUGUGUGUGAUAUGAAGAUUGAUCCUCAAAACUUCACACCUUAUUAAUCUCUAUACAGUGUGAUGAGCUUGUCGAACAAGGUGCUUCGGUUGGAGAAACUCAUGCAGCUGUAGUCAAGAAGUGCAAGUAUACUAUAGCAAUGCCAUCUGACCCUAAAGCUGCUCUCUCGGUUGUUUUUGACAAAGAUGGGGUGCUCAAUCAAAUAUGUGAGGGAAAAGGCUAUAUCGACAUGUCCAUAGUUGAUGCAGAUACUUCUUCUAAAAUAAGCGAGAAGAAGCAAAUGAGAUAGUUUGUGAGAUAGAUUACAAAAGUAUUUUGGAGCUCAAGAACAACGAGUUGUCGGAUAAUGUGUGGACUAAUUUAGGUGUUUCUUGACUAAUUUGGUUGUAUGGACUUGUUGAUGUAAGUGAACUUUGAUGGUGUAUGAACUUAUUGAUGUUGUUCGGUUUUAAAUUGUUGGUAAGUCAUGUGGUUUUAUUGUUGCAAUGACGAGCUCAAGAGCAACGAGGUGUUGGAUAAUGUAUGGACUAAUUUGGGUGUUUCUUGACUAUUUGGUUGUAUGGACUUGUUGAUGUAAGUGAACUUUUGAUGAUGUAUGGACUUCUUGACUAAUUUUGGUUGUAUUGAAUUAUUUGUAUUGCGAAAUA
Molecule: long non-coding RNA, 1166 nt
Organism: Asparagus officinalis (garden asparagus)
Lineage: Eukaryota; Viridiplantae; Streptophyta; Magnoliopsida; Asparagales; Asparagaceae
Exons: 5
Source: RefSeq, a predicted model, not a curated record